AUACGGAAGGUCCGGGCGUUAUCCGGAUUUAUUGGGUUUAAAGGGAGCGCAGGCGGAGAUGCAAGCGUGACGUCAAAUUUCGGGGCUCAACCCCGUCUCGCGUCGCGAACUGCGUCCCUUGGUUGCGGGAAGGGGAGGCGGAACUCGUGGUGGAGCGGUGGAAUGCAUAGAUAUCACGAAGAACUCCGAUCGCGAAGGCAGCCUUCCGGCCCGUCAACGACGCUCAUGCUCGAAGGUGCGGGUAUCAAACAGGAUUAGAUACCCUGGUAGUCCGCACAGUAAACGAUGGACACCCGCGGUUUGGCCUAUAUGGCUGAGCCGCCAAGCGAAAGCGUUAAGUGUCCCACCUGGGGAGUACGCCGGCAACGGUGAAACUUAAAGGAAUUGACGGGG
This 393-nucleotide ribosomal RNA is filed under the name uncultured bacterium. RNAcentral describes it as "partial 16S ribosomal RNA". It matches the Rfam family "Bacterial small subunit ribosomal RNA", at positions 523 to 918 of the family's 1533-position model. The record is from RNAcentral.